GUGAUAUGGGAAAUAAGUAAUAAGCAUUUUUUUAUGGGAACAGUUGCCAGCCUGUAAGUUGGUGGUGACAGGUUGUAUAAGUGCCGGAGGAUCAGUGUCUUAAACACAUCAACCCUGGUUUCAAGAUGAUAAUACACUGACAGGGACUAUUGGGUUAGCCAACGCCAUGAUUUCAAAAAAACUUGUUUGAUUGCUACACCUUUCCAUUCAUGGCUACUGCACAUUCAAAUAAAAUGUUUAAAAGGGUUCGAAUUGGAGCCAUGAAAAACA
This 270-nucleotide long non-coding RNA is filed under the name Gossypium raimondii (Peruvian cotton). RNAcentral describes it as "long non-coding RNA (GRAI_LNC006213)". The record is from RNAcentral. Lineage: Eukaryota; Viridiplantae; Streptophyta; Magnoliopsida; Malvales; Malvaceae.